GCAGCAGCUGCGGUAAUUCCAGCUCCAAUAGCGUAUAUUAAAGUUGUUGCAGUUAAAACGCUCGUAGUCUGAUGUAAUGGGGACUGGUGUGGGGAGCAGCGAUGCUCUGUGCAGCGGUCCUCAUCAGGGGGCCAGCAAUGGCCCAGUUUACUUUGAGGAAAUUAGAGUGUUCAAAGCAGGCGAUUGCUUGAAUACUGCAGCAUGGAAUAAUGGAAUAGGACUCGCGUCUUAUUUUGUUGGUUUGGAGAUGUGAGUAAUGAUGAAUAGGGACAGUUGGGGGCAUUGGUAUUCAGUAGUCAGAGGUGAAAUUCUUGGAUUUACUGAAGACUAACUAGGGCGAAAGCAUUUGACAAGGAUGUUUUCAUUGAUGAAGAACGAAAGU
RNAcentral lists this ribosomal RNA (382 nucleotides) under uncultured eukaryote. Its description in RNAcentral is "SSU rRNA". It matches the Rfam family "Eukaryotic small subunit ribosomal RNA", at positions 567 to 990 of the family's 1831-position model. The record is from RNAcentral.